RNAcentral lists this ribosomal RNA (460 nucleotides) under uncultured bacterium. Its description in RNAcentral is "partial 16S ribosomal RNA". It matches the Rfam family "Bacterial small subunit ribosomal RNA", at positions 338 to 795 of the family's 1533-position model. The record is from RNAcentral.
CCUACGGGAGGCAGCAGUGAGGAAUAUUGGUCAAUGGCCGUAAGGCUGAACCAGCCAAGUCGCGUGAAGGAAGAAGGAUCUAUGGUUUGUAAACUUCUUUUAUAGGGGAAUAAAGGUCUCCACGUGUGGAUUUUUGCAUGUACCCUAUGUAUAAGCAUCGGCUAACUCCGUGCCAGCAGCCGCGGUAAUACGGAGGGUGCGAGCGUUAUCCGGAAUUAUUGGGUUUAAAGGGUGCGUAGGUUGUUUUUUAAGUCAGCGGUGAAAGUUUGUGGCUCAACCAUAAAAUUGCCGUUGAAACUGGAAGACUUGAGUGUGUUUGAGGUAGGCGGAAUGCGUGGUGUAGCGGUGAAAUGCAUAGAUAUCACGCAGAACUCCGAUUGCGAAGGCAGCUUACUAGGCCAUAACUGACACUGAGGCACGAAAGCGUGGGGAUCAAACAGGAUUAGAUACCCGUGUAGUC